This 225-nucleotide long non-coding RNA is filed under the name Mytilus galloprovincialis (Mediterranean mussel). The record is from RNAcentral. Lineage: Eukaryota; Metazoa; Mollusca; Bivalvia; Mytilida; Mytilidae.
CACUCAUUCUGACUUUAAGAAUACGUUUUAAAAAAUACAAAUAAAGGAUAAAAAUCUGAAAACGUAUGUACCAUGCAUUGAAUGCCUACACUACUCAUAAAGGGAAAGGAAUAUUUUCUAAUUGAUCAUCUAAUAAAUUUCAUUUUGUCUUAAUAAAAUUGAGAAUGGAAAUGGGAUAUGUUUCAAACAGAAAACAACCCGACCAACGGUAAACUCUAAGAUGGG